AAGUGAGAAGCAAUAUUUGCAAUCAGUUUCGACCUGAUCUUAGAUAAAACCUUUUUUAUCCUUACUUU
Molecule: transfer RNA, 68 nt
Filed under: Ephelotermes melachoma
Lineage: Eukaryota; Metazoa; Arthropoda; Insecta; Blattodea; Termitidae
Description: tRNA-Arg
Source: RNAcentral